This is a long non-coding RNA of Oryctolagus cuniculus (rabbit), 1715 nucleotides long. The record is from Ensembl. NCBI's taxonomy places the organism in Eukaryota, Metazoa, Chordata, Mammalia, Lagomorpha, Leporidae.
UUAUACUCCUCUUAGGUGUCACCUGGUAUAUGUCACAUGGUGGCAGGGCAGAAGGGCUCAUUCAAGUGUACUCUUAAGAUAUCCACUUUUAAUAGGACCCCAUUGGGGAUUAAUUUCCAAUAUACAAGUUUUGUAGGACUAUUGGCAUGUGGGGCAAAGUAAUGCUUAAAUAGAAGACCCUAUGUCCGUUGUUUCUAAGACAAUUUCCCCUUAAAUAAUAUGCUUUAUUGACCAGUUAACUGAAGAAUAUAAGAUAGCAUCUGAAUAUUUUAUACAACUAAUUUCUGAUUUUUUUAUUUAUUUCAGAUUUCUGGGGGACAUCAGUAAUAUUUCAUAUAAUAGUUAAUACAAGAAAUUCAGGGUUAUAUAUUAGUCGUGUCUCAGACUGGUUUUUCCACUACAAUACCUGAGAUUGAAGAAUUUAUGAAGAGUAGAAAAUCAUUGGCUCCCAGUUUGGAAGGUUUUCAAUUUUAUAUUAGGAAAUAUGACUGAACUGUGGUGUAAAGCUAAAUACCUACAAUUCAGAGAAUCCACAGACAACGUCUGCCAUCACGGAUAUCAAGAGACGUUGAACAAGGUCAACAUUAACUUUGAAAGUUUUGAUUCAGAUGCUAUUGGACAUAUAUUUUAUCAAUUUCUGGAAGGAAAAUUCCUAUCAAUUCUUAGAAGAAUGCUCUUACCUAUGGAAAACAAGGAAGAGACCAUUGGUAGGUAACCAUUGGUAGGUUACCACUAAGCUGGAACCAACAAUAGACCACUGAUGUUAGGACUUAACCAGUACUCAUUCCAAAAAUGGGGGUAGGGGAGGGAAUUAGAAAACUGAAUGACCAAACUGUUCCUGAAGACAAGAGGAGGAAAGGUCUCAGGUAAAGUCUGAGUUCUUCAGGAAUUUGGGAAGUGAACCAGCAAAUGAAAGGUCUACAUUUCCCUAUUUGUUUUCCAUCUUUCCUUCCUUCUUUCCUUCCUCCCUUCCUUCCUUCUUUCCUUCCUUCCUUCCUUCCUACCGUUCUUUCUAUUUCUUUUUUUUAAUUUUUUAUUUAGUAAAUAUAAAUUUUCAAAGUACAGUUAAUGGAUUACAUUGGCUUCCCCCACAUAAUUUCCCUCCCACUCGCACCCCUUCAUCUCCCGCUCCCUCUCCCAUUCCAUUCACAUCAAGAUCACAGAAGAUCAAUUUAGUAUAUAUUAAGUAAAGAUUUCAUCAGUUUGCACCCACACAGAAACACAAAGUGUAAAAUACUGUUUCAGUACUAGUUAUAGCAUUACUUCACAUUGGACAACACAUUAAGGACAGAUCCCACAUGAGAAGUAAGUACACAGUGACUCCUGUUGUUGACUUAACAAUUUGACACUCCUGUUUAUGGCGUCAGUAAUCUCCCUAGGCUCUAGUCAUGAGUUGCCAAGGCUAUGGAAGCCUUUUGAGUUCGCCGACUUUGAUCUUAUUCCGACAGGAUCAUGGUCAAAGUGGAAGUUCUCUCCUCCCUUCAGAAAAAGUUACCUGCUUCUUUGAUGGCCCCAUUCUUUCCACUGGGAUCUCACUCGCAGAGAUCUUCCAUUUAGUUCUUCCUUUUUUUUUUUUCCAGGGUGUCUUGGCUUUCUAUGCCUAAAAUACUCUCAUGGGCUCUUCGGCCAUAUCCGAAUGCCUUAAGGGCUGAUUCUGAGGCCAGAGUGCUAUUUAGGACAUCUGACAUUCUAUGAGUCUGCUGUGUAUCCUGCUU